AAUAUAGUAACUAGUGUAUAAGAAUUAAAAAUAACGUGCCUCUCACUUACAUAAAGACAUCUCAGCAUAAUUUAUUCAGCAUAAUAAGAUCCACAAUAUGUAAUUCAAUCCACUAUGAAUAUUUUCACUACAAUACUCGACCAUUCUAAAAAUUGAAAAGAAUAAUAAUACUUACAUUUUAUAUAUGAUCGCCUACACUCUUAUCUCCUAAGAUUUGGUUAAAGAUCCAGUAGAUCCAACUCAAGGCUCAAACCACUAAAAUAACGGUGGAAGCUUAAAAUAACUUAACAAAGAAAAAACACUUCCAAACAAAAUAAUUUAUGUUGUUAUUAAAGUUACAAUUGUUUUAGUAACUAUUUAUUAUCUUAGUGGUAAAGUGUAAUGCUUUAAAUGUGUUGUCUAUGUCUAUGG
This 411-nucleotide long non-coding RNA is filed under the name Cicer arietinum (chickpea). RNAcentral describes it as "long non-coding RNA (CARI_LNC002539)". The record is from RNAcentral. Lineage: Eukaryota; Viridiplantae; Streptophyta; Magnoliopsida; Fabales; Fabaceae.